RNAcentral lists this long non-coding RNA (383 nucleotides) under Pan troglodytes (chimpanzee). RNAcentral describes it as "lincRNA". Lineage: Eukaryota; Metazoa; Chordata; Mammalia; Primates; Hominidae. The record is from RNAcentral.
AGUACAGGCUUUGGUCCACAGAGACAACAAUACUUUCAAUACUCUUUUGUUCUGCCCCAGGGGAGCUCAACACAGAAUUGCCUAGAACAAGAAACUGGUGAGAGAAGCUGCAGCCUGUUGAGACUCCACAAGACUGAAGAUAUGAAAAGAGGAAAUCUGCAUGAAUGCCCGCAUGGAGAACCACCCCCACCUGCUGCUCCCGCUCUAAUGAUCACGCCCAUUAUCAACUGAGGGAUGGCUCUGUGCCUUGUCCUUGCAUUACAUGGACCAAGAACACUUCACAGGACUCAGAGAGGAACCCGAAAGGAAGAAGCCUAUACGACUGGGGACACAUGUCUUAGAAGCACACCCAUGAGGUAAAGUGUCGCAUACUCUUUGAUAAG